ACGUGAUUAGAUUGUAAGUCGCUCUGGAUAAGAGCGUCUGCUAAAUGACUUAAA
Non-coding RNA from Salmo salar (Atlantic salmon), 54 nucleotides. The record is from Rfam. Lineage: Eukaryota; Metazoa; Chordata; Actinopteri; Salmoniformes; Salmonidae.